RNAcentral lists this ribosomal RNA (204 nucleotides) under uncultured bacterium. Its description in RNAcentral is "partial 16S ribosomal RNA". It matches the Rfam family "Bacterial small subunit ribosomal RNA", at positions 1297 to 1500 of the family's 1533-position model. The record is from RNAcentral.
AUUGCAGGCUGCAACUCGCCUGCAUGAAGUUGGAAUUGCUAGUAAUCGCGAAUCAGAAUGUCGCGGUGAAUACGUUCCCGGGCCUUGUACACACCGCCCGUCACACCAUGGGAGUCGGAUAUGCCCGAAGUCAGUGACCCAACCAUAUGGAGGGAGCUGCCGAAGGUGGAGCCGAUAACUGGGGUGAAGUCGUAACAAGGUAUC